Long non-coding RNA from Gadus macrocephalus (Pacific cod), 755 nucleotides. RefSeq lists it as uncharacterized. NCBI's taxonomy places the organism in Eukaryota, Metazoa, Chordata, Actinopteri, Gadiformes, Gadidae. The record is from RefSeq and is a predicted model, not a curated record. The transcript is spliced from 2 exons.
UGGCAAUAGGCCUAGUUGAUCAACUUACUUUUUUUUCUCUGCAUGACAACUCGAAAAAAGACCUCGGUCACCUGAAUGACGUGUUUAAAUCAUGUCAAUAGGUUAAGAAGAUCCCCUAACAGAAAUAUAUAUAUUCUACCAAUAUAUAUAUUUUAGAAUAUGUAACGGACCUAUUGUGUAGCUAUUCACCUGUAUUGCGCCCCGGAACCUUUUGUUUACGUUUAACCCGGUACCCUUUUAGAGGCGCAGAGCAGCAAUCACGGCGAUGUGUGUCUCGCACGUAGUCGCGUCGAAAACUGCAAGCUAACGGCUGACCCAUGAAUGUCCGGUGAAAGCAACUUUUCCCUCGUCUUGCACCCUUGGCAAGCGGAGCGAGGUAUGGUUUAUUGUAAGCCUUUAGUGUGAUUAUGUUUAAUUAUGGUGUCUUUAUGUAAGUGAAGCAAAUAAUGCACACGUUUAAGUUUUCUUUGUUGUGCUGAAAUAUGUUUUCUAUAAUAUGUCAUUCUUUUAUUUCCUGUAUUGGAAUAAUAUUUGAAUUCAAGUGAAUAUUGUAAAGGUCUUUCAGAUGUUUGCAGUUUGCACACAAAUUAAUGUUAUCUUAAGACUAGUGUCACUUUCUUCUAUUUGUGAACAUGGAAAUUGUACUGCACUGAUGUUAAUAUAUUUGUGUAAAAGUGUAACCAUUUUGUGUUACUUUUUCUAGUUUCACGUUGCUGUAUCAACAAAAUAAUUCUGCAAUAAAAGGUUGCACCCGU